RNAcentral lists this transfer RNA (85 nucleotides) under Felis catus (domestic cat). It matches the Rfam family "tRNA". Rfam says of the family: Transfer RNA (tRNA) molecules are approximately 80 nucleotides in length. Their secondary structure includes four short double-helical elements and three loops (D, anti-codon, and T loops). Lineage: Eukaryota; Metazoa; Chordata; Mammalia; Carnivora; Felidae. The record is from Rfam by way of RNAcentral.
GCCUGGGUGGCUCAGUUGGUGAAGCGUCUGACUUUUGCUCAGGUCAUGAUCUCAUGGUACGUGAGUUCAAGCCUUGCAUCGGGCU